AUGAAAGUUCGUGCCGUAAUAUAUUUCUUAGAAUCCCCUAUAUAUAUUCCCUCUUCCUUUUGUGGCAACUCGGCCAUUAAACGUUCGUUGGAGGUCGCCUCAGCUCCAGCCAUGGCAGAGAAGGUAGCUACUUUGAUCAUUGAAGCCAACCUCGAAUGCGAGAAAUGCUACAAGAAGAUUCAGAAAGUGCUAUGUAAACUCCAAGAGAAGGAAAAGAUCAGGACCAUCAAUUUCGACACGAAGAAGAACACGGUGACCAUCUCCGGUCCGUUUGACCCGGUGAAGCUGUCGAAGAAGCUGCGAUGCAAGGCCUGCAAGGCGAUCAAGGAUAUCAAGAUCGUCGAAGAGAAGAAGCCCGACGCCAAGAAGCCGGAAGAGAAAAAGCCGGAGGAGAAGAAGCCCGAGGAGAAGAAGCCGGCCGCCGAUGGCUGCAAGUGCUGCUGCAAGAAGCCCGACGAGAAGAAGCCGGAUGAGAAGAAGAAGCCCGACGAGAAGAAGCCGGAGGAAAAGAAGAAACCCGACGAGAAGAAGCCAGACGAUAAGAAGCCGGAGGAGAAGCCGAAGCCCAAGGUGGAGCCCAAACCAGCCGCGCCGUCGACGACGGUGAACCUGCAGUUCACGCAGAUCUGCAACCUCUGCUACCCGUGGCCGUGCAGCGACCCGAGCCACUGGGGAGGCGUGCACCAGUACCCGCAUCCCCAGCCGCAGUGGCCGUGCGAGCCGCCGCAGAUGCCGGCGUACCCCGCCCCCCACCACCCUCAGCACCCGGUUCCUCAGCACCCGCCCUGGGCGGCGCCGGCGACCCCGAAGAGGCAGCCGUGCGGAGGCCCGGCCUACUGCGGAGGAGGGUGCGGCUCGUGCGGCGGCGGCGGCGGGUACGGGGCGUGGCCGCCGCCGAUGCCGACGCCGCUGCAGAUGAUGCAGCCUCCCCCGAUGGGCUGCGGCGGGCCGGCGUCGUCGUGCAGAGGGUGCAAGGGCUGCCGGAUCGUGCAGGAGGGGAGGUUCAUCUACGAGGAGUACCCGCCCAGUGCGUGCACCGUCAUGUGA
RNAcentral lists this ribosomal RNA (1047 nucleotides) under Triticum aestivum (bread wheat). RNAcentral describes it as "partial small subunit ribosomal RNA". Lineage: Eukaryota; Viridiplantae; Streptophyta; Magnoliopsida; Poales; Poaceae. The record is from RNAcentral.